GGAGACAGAGUCUUGCACUGUCGCCCAGGCUGGAAAAAUAGCUAAGAAUAUUUUUAUGCAAGUUUUGGGGAGGACUGAACACUGGUAAGGAUUCACUGUAGGGCUCCAUCAUUAUAAGUUUCCUAAAAAGUAGUGUGCAAACAAAAUAUCUGAACACAGAACCCUAAACAUACUAGAUGUAUGUGUGGGUA
Molecule: long non-coding RNA, 191 nt
Organism: Homo sapiens (human)
Lineage: Eukaryota; Metazoa; Chordata; Mammalia; Primates; Hominidae
Source: Ensembl